Molecule: long non-coding RNA, 3578 nt
Organism: Cryptomeria japonica (Japanese cedar)
Lineage: Eukaryota; Viridiplantae; Streptophyta; Pinopsida; Cupressales; Cupressaceae
Exons: 5
Source: RefSeq, a predicted model, not a curated record
UUUCCGCCGGGUUUCCUAGAAACCACCGUUCACAUGGGGCUCAUAUUGAAGUCUCGUCUGAAUCCUCCACAACUUCUCAGCACGCGUUGGUCUUGUCUUUUUCUGACGUUUCUUGGGGUGCAAUUCAAUCCAAGUUCAUGGCACUUCUGCUAACCCUAAGAGGAACUUGGGGUUUGAAGAAUAUGCAUAAUAUGCAUCUACUUCUGGUGGAUCCAUGAGGCCUGUGAAAAAUCUGUCCUGUGAUGUAUUUCAUCGCAGUCCGGAAGUCAAACAACACACGCUGGUCAUCACUCUCUAUAAAAUGUUUAAUGCCAUGGGAAUGGAUUGUUUUUGGGAUUCAGGAGAGCUUAAAUUGGUGGAUCAUUUGCCUGGGAAAUUAGAAGCUGCUUGGCUUCAUAUAGCUAUAUUUCCAGACCAGCACGCACAACCCUGGUUGUGUUUGGCAGAUCUGUCCACAGAUCUGGCUUUUAUGUUUAAAACAUACGUUAGAAUUGUUUCUAUUAUCUACCAUGUUAAGUCUGAAGGUGUCCCAUAUGCAAAAGGAGUCUCUGCCGAUGCGUUUCACUGGAGCGAAAAGCAGAGUAGAUAUACCCCAGAAAAGCUUCAGGAGUGGAAGAACGUGCUCUACGAUCUUUCACAUAAUAUAGAUCACAUCCUUGGUAUCAAGGAAGAUGAGGACAGACUGCUUCUAAAGACUAUUGUUUAUGGUGUAUUGAAAGGAAUUGGAAAGGUACCAUUCGUGGUCGAUGCCCCAAAAGACUUUGAAUUGACUAUACUUCAAUCUGAAAAAAGUCAGCAGCAAAUUAUAAGAAUUUGAGGUAUGGGCGGUUCUGGCAAAAUUACCGGUGUUAACAAAAUUAUAUUCAUUUUUGGAAAAGUCUAGCCUUAUGUUAGAGGCUAGAUGAGUUGCCUCCACAAAUCUAUGGAGAAGCAAAGGUGAAUAUAUAUUUUGUUAAAUGAGAUGACAUGAAUUGCACAAAAAUGCAUGGAUACUGAAGGGAUUUGGGAAGGGAAAUCACAAAUCAACAAUCACCCUAUCGUCUUUGGUGUCCAGAGCAAAGUGUUAAAGCUUCUAAUGGAUAACAGUGCAAUGUUUUUGAAAAGGCUACCCUAUGAUGUAUUUUUUAAUCAUUAGGGUCUUCAUGUCAAACACACACUGACCACCACUCUCUAUAAAAUAUUUGAUAGCAUGAGAGUAAGGCUUUUUCUGAAUUCAGAAAAGGUUGAAUUAGGGGAUUACCUGCCUAGAGAACUAGAAGAGGCAAUGAUCAGUGCUUCACUUCAUAUAGCCAUAUUUUGUGGUGUUUGACAGAGCUGUCAUUUAUGCUCAAAAAAUGGCAUAUGCUAGUAUGCACAAUCCAAGUGGUGUUUGACCGAGCUAUCAUUUAUGCUCAAAAAAGGCAUAUGUUAGUAUGCACAAUCCGAGUGGUGUUUGACCGAGCUAUCAUUUAUGCUCAAAAAAGGCAAAUGCUAGUAUGCACAAUCCAAGUGGUGUUUGACAGAGCUGUCAUUUAUGCUCAAAAAAGGCAUAUGCAAAUAUGCACAAUCUGAGUGGUGUUUGACAGAGCUAUCAUUUAUGCUUAAAAAGGGCAUUACAACUGUUUCCAUUUUUUACUAUGUUAAGCUUGAAGAUGUUCAAUAUGCAUGUUGAUGCAUUUUAUAAGAUUGACAAGAGUAAGAUUGACAAGAAGGGUAGAUACACUGACAAAAAACUUAAGGGAUGAAAGAAGGUGCUCUAGGAUGUGUCACCACUCUUCAAUCUACUGAAAGUCACCAAAAUCAAAAUGAAAAGAAGGGUGGAUACACCUUAGAAAAGCUUCAAGAGUGGAAGAAGAAUGAAAAGAAGAGUAGAUACAGCUCAGAAAAGCUUCAAGAAUGGAAGAAAGUGCUUUAGGAUGUUUCACCACACUCUAAUAUGUCAACAGUCAUCAAAAUGUGCAAAUUGUAGGAAUAUGGGGCAUGGGUGGUUCCGGCAAAAUUACUCUUGCUAAAAACCUUACAUUCAUAGAAAAGUCUAGCCUUAUAUUUGAUGUUAGAGCUGUUACAUAACAAGCAGAAAAAAUUCUUGGACAACCUGGGUUUUGAAAGUGUAUCAAUUGACAGCAUAGAAGAAGGGAAGGCAAUUUGCAAGCUGCUUGGGAUCUGAGAGGGAUGUUCAUUGUAUAACAUGAUGUUAAUCAUGUGGACCACCCACCUGAAUGCUCUAUUGGUUGCUAAGGAUAGCUUGUGAUCCGAAAAUUUGAUUGGAUCAGGUACUUUGAUUUUGUCACUGCUAGGGAAUUUGAAGUGCCUAUAUCUUGGGGGCAGCUCUUUUUUGACAUGCUUUCUUGCAACUAUCUCGAAGGGAUGGAUUUGAGGAGCUUGUUAACAGAUUAUUAAAAUCUUGUAAAGUCUUUGGUAGGCAGUUUGAUGGAAAUGUCAGCAAAGAUCACUUGGAGACUCUUAAUUACAUAAGAUCUCUGGAAUACUACAGGAUGAUAUCAAGCAGAGGCUUUUUGUAAGUUAGCCCUUGAUGUUGGAGGAAGUUAUUUUUGGAAACGUGUUUCUUCAUUGGCGAAGAAAGCAAUUUUGGAAUUGAGUAUGGAACAGAUUAAGGUGGAGUUUUCUGCACAGUUGGGAAAGUUUACGGAAUAAAUGUCUUGUUGAACCUGAUGAAAUAAAUUGCACAAGGAUGCACGACCACCCAAGGGGUUCACGAAGGGAAACUGCAAAUCAAGAAUCACCCCACGAACUUUGGAUUUUCCAGCAAACUGUCAAAGUUUCUAAUGAAGAACAGAAAGGAGUAGGCAUUCAAGCAAAAAAGUCCUCCUCAAUUUAAGCAACAUGGGAUUAUUGGCUACAUUACUAUAUUCAAGAAAUGGUCGAAAGAGAUGGAUCAAAUAGUGAUACUGAGGAGUUUGGUGAUUGCUCAUUGCACGUUGAACUCAUGGUUAACACAUGAAAAGGAAAUUGGACCCUUGCACCUUCUAAACUGGUACUAAAAAUUAUUGUGGCUCAAGGUCGUGAUUUAAUCAAAUAAUUAGUGCAGUAUCAAGAGAUCGGGUCUAGCUUCACUGGUUUGAUAUUGGGCAGAGAAAUCUUAAGUCACUAAUUCCAUCGAAAAAGAUGAGGAUUUAGAAUUAUAUGAAGCUGGGGUUAGGAAUUUUUUUGAGGAUUUUAGAGUUAUAUGCAAGCAGGUGCUCACUCAUCAGCUGCUGACCUCCCUGCUGCUUCCUACCACAACCUCUGACUGGUUAACCUUUCCUCUGUCAAACUUUAUUACUCACCACACAGACAGCUUUAAUCCCAAAUGCUUGUACUGUGUAAUGCAUUUUUCGGUAUGAUCAAAAUCAUCAAAUUUAUUCCUGUGAUUUAAGUGCAUAUCUCUCUGUGCAAGUUUUGUUUCACUGUAAUGUCAAGGGAACAGCUGUAAAUCUUUGGCCGAAAGUGUCUGAUGGAUAGAAGACCACACACCAGCUUCAUCUGUAUCAGUCUCUUUGUUCGGUUCAUUACUUGUUAGGCAUAUCUCGAGUAAGAGCAAUGUUAUCAAAUAGUACUUUGACAAUCAAUAAAAAACAGAGUAAAGUUAUAAACUUUUA